UUACCAGCUUGACAUCUAUGAAAGCUUCGGACAGGUGCUGCAUGGCCGUCGUCAGCUCGUGUCGUGAGAUGUUGGGUUAAGUCCCGCAACGAGCGCAACCCUGUGUUAGUUACCAGCGUACGGGACUCUAACAGACUGCCCAGAUCAAUGGGAGGAAGGUGGGGACGACGUCAGGUCAGUAUGGCCCUUACGCUGGGCUGCACACGUACUACAACGCAGUACAUGAGCCACCGCGAGGGGAGGAAUCUACAACUGGCUCAGUUCGGAUUGGAGGCUGCAACUCGCCUCCAUGAAGCUGGAAUCGCUAGUAAUGGCAAUCAGCACGUGCCGUGAAUACGUCCCGGGUCUUGUACACACCGCCCGUCACAUCAUGGAAGUCGGCGACCGAA
Molecule: ribosomal RNA, 389 nt
Filed under: uncultured bacterium
Lineage: Bacteria
Description: bacterial SSU rRNA
Rfam family: Bacterial small subunit ribosomal RNA
Source: RNAcentral